GAUGAACGCUGGCGGCGUGCCUAAUACAUGCAAGUCGAGCGAACAGAUGAGAAGCUUGCUUCUCUGAUGUUAGCGGCGGACGGGUGAGUAACACGUGGGUAACCUACCUAUAAGACUGGGAUAACUCCGGGAAACCGGGGCUAAUACCGGAUAAUAUUUUGAACCGCAUGGUUCAAUAGUGAAAGACGGUUUCGGCUGCCACUUAUAGAUGGACCCGCGCCGUAUUAGCUAGUUGGUAAGGUAACGGCUUACCAAGGCGACGAUACGUAGCCGAACUGAGAGGGUGAUCGGCCACACUGGAACUGAGACACGGUCCAGACUCCUACGGGAGGCAGCAGUAGGGAAUCUUCCGCAAUGGGCGAAAGCCUGACGGAGCAACGCCGCGUGAGUGAUGAAGGUCUUCGGAUCGUAAAACUCUGUUGUUAGGGAAGAACAAAUUUGUUAGUAACUGAACAAGUCUUGACGGUACCUAACCAGAAAGCCACGGCUAACUACGUGCCAGCAGCCGCCGUAA
RNAcentral lists this ribosomal RNA (514 nucleotides) under uncultured bacterium. RNAcentral describes it as "partial 16S ribosomal RNA". It matches the Rfam family "Bacterial small subunit ribosomal RNA", at positions 28 to 523 of the family's 1533-position model. The record is from RNAcentral.